Molecule: ribosomal RNA, 429 nt
Filed under: Chloroflexota bacterium
Lineage: Bacteria; Bacillati; Chloroflexota
Description: Chloroflexi bacterium partial 16S ribosomal RNA
Rfam family: Bacterial small subunit ribosomal RNA
Source: RNAcentral
UGGGGAAUAUUGCACAAUGGGCGCAAGCCUGAUGCAGCCAUGCCGCGUGUGUGAAGAAGGCCUUCGGGUUGUAAAGCACUUUCAGCGGGGAGGAAGGCGUUAAGGUUAAUAACCUUGGCAAUUGACGUUACCGACAGAAGAAGCACCGGCUAACUCCGUGCCAGCAGCCGCGGUAAUACGGAGGGUGCAAGCGUUAAUCGGAAUUACUGGGCGUAAAGCGCACGCAGGCGGUUGAUUGAGUCAGAUGUGAAAUCCCCGGGCUUAACCCGGGAAUUGCAUCUGAUACUGGUCAGCUAGAGUCUUGUAGAGGGGGGUAGAAUUCCAUGUGUAGCGGUGAAAUGCGUAGAGAUGUGGAGGAAUACCGGUGGCGAAGGCGGCCCCCUGGACAAAGACUGACGCUCAGGUGCGAAAGCGUGGGGAGCAAACAGG